AACGAACGCUGGCGGCAUGCCUAACACAUGCAAGUCGAACGAGACCUUCGUGUCUAGUGGCGCACGGGUGCUUAACGCGUGGUAAGCUGCCCUUAGGUUCGGAAUAACUCCCCGAAAGGGGUGCUAAUACCGGAGAAUGUCUUCGGACCAAAGAUUUAUCGCCUUUGGAUGGGCCCGCGUUGGAUUAGCUAGUUGGUAGGGUAAAAGCAUACCAAGGCGACGAUCCAUAGCUGGUCUGAGAGGAGGAUCAGCUACACUUGGAAUGCGACCCGGCCCAGAAUGGUACGGGAGGGAGCAGAAGAGAAUAUUGGAGAAGGGACGAUAGUGUGAUCACGCAACGCCGCGUGAGUGAUGAAGGCCUUAGGGUUGUAAAGCUGUUUUACCCGGGAUGAUAAUGACAGUAACGGGAGAAUAAGCUCCGGCUAACUACGUG
RNAcentral lists this ribosomal RNA (433 nucleotides) under uncultured bacterium. Its description in RNAcentral is "partial 16S ribosomal RNA". It matches the Rfam family "Bacterial small subunit ribosomal RNA", at positions 29 to 507 of the family's 1533-position model. The record is from RNAcentral.